RNAcentral lists this ribosomal RNA (253 nucleotides) under uncultured bacterium. RNAcentral describes it as "partial 16S ribosomal RNA". It matches the Rfam family "Bacterial small subunit ribosomal RNA", at positions 524 to 776 of the family's 1533-position model. The record is from RNAcentral.
UACGUAGGUGGCGAGCGUUGUCCGGAUUUAUUGGGCGUAAAGAGCUCGUAGGCGGUUUGUCGCGUCUGCUGUGAAAACCCGAGGCUCAACCUCGGGCCUGCAGUGGGUACGGGCAGACUAGAGUGCGGUAGGGGAGAUUGGAAUUCCUGGUGUAGCGGUGGAAUGCGCAGAUAUCAGGAGGAACACCAAUGGCGAAGGCAGAUCUCUGGGCCGUAACUGACGCUGAGGAGCGAAAGCAUGGGGAGCGAACAGG